CCAGCUCCCUCAGCCUGUCUUGUAGGGGAGGUGCUCCAGCAAUCUGAUCAUCUUUGUGGCCCUCCUCUGGACCCUCUCCAACAGCUCUCUGUCUUUCUUGUACUGGGGACUCCAGACCUGGACACAGUACUCCAGAUGGGGCCUCACAAGAGCAGAGUAGAGAGGGACAAUCACCUCCCUGUCCCUGCUGGCCACCCCUCUCAUGAUGGAGCCCAGGAUACCAUUUGCUUUCCGAGCUGCAAGAGCACACUGCUGGCUCAUGUUAAGUUUGUCAUCCAUCAGGACCCCCAGGUCCUUCUCUGCAGAGCUUCUCUCCAGCAGGUCACCCCCAGAACAAGUCAUGCAUGUAUGCAUGUCGUAAGAAAGAAAUCAACAGCAAUUAUAAAUUCCUCCAAAAGCACUCUCUUUAUGACUAAAAUCAGAAGGGGGGGGGCUUCAAGGGAUUAGUUUCUGUCUACAGGCAAAAGCCUGAGGCUGCGUUCAAUUUUUCCACACUUCAGAACCAUUCCCAUCCUCGUAUAUCUGUUCUGAUUUUGGCACAAGAAGUACUACAUGUGCCUGGUGGGCCUAUUAUCAGUCUAUGUCACAAAAGGAGGUACACAGAAGCAUAUCACAAAUCAGAUGUUCAUCAUACCAUACAUGCUUUAAUUGCAAGGGUCAGGUCUGAGAUCAGCUACCAUUCCAAACAUCCAAAAUUCAGUCUCUCUCACUCAGAAAGUUCAAAAGAAACUUUUCUGUCUUGGAAUUUCAGGAUUUGAGUCUGGAGUCAUGCAGUCCACUACCAAUUAGCCUGACAGCGCUACAUGUAGCAUGCUGUGUUGAAAACAAACAUACACAUUUCUCUAGGUUUAGAACCUCUCUCCCUCAGUCUUGACAGGGUGCACAUCAAGAGGACGUUUUUCUCCCCUGCGUUGGACACAGCAGUGUUCACUUGAUGGGACGUGGCAGAGGCUCAACAGGAGUGCAACCCCCACAUUUAGGAUGGGCUUGAUCUGUCCAUGUGGUCUCGUAACAGGACGUGUUUGUUUGGUCCUAAUUAUGUCUCUUAUUUCUGGGUUAACCCGCCCCAAUUUAGCCUUGCAGACUCAAAUCAGUAAUCAGAAAAACUCAGAAAUAGUGUUUAUUUACAGGCCCAUCUUUAAAAAGCAUAAAAGGCAGCAAAUCACUGAGAUAUCUGUGAUCAUUCCAUUCCAGACAGAGUCAUGUCACCAACUCUAAUCCCAAUUUCAAAUACUUCCUGUUUUCUGUGUCUGUCAACUUGAGUUUCAACAGCUACCUGAUCUGAGGGAGCCUGGGAAAUCUCAGAUAUGAAACCAGGUCGCACUGUAACAUAGUUCAGUAAUUCUGAUCCUAAUGCAAUCCCAACAAGCAUCCCACAGCAUGGACGCCUG
RNAcentral lists this long non-coding RNA (1391 nucleotides) under Gallus gallus (chicken). RNAcentral describes it as "lncRNA (ENSGALG00010003911.1)". Lineage: Eukaryota; Metazoa; Chordata; Aves; Galliformes; Phasianidae. The record is from RNAcentral.